RNAcentral lists this ribosomal RNA (471 nucleotides) under uncultured bacterium. Its description in RNAcentral is "SSU rRNA". It matches the Rfam family "Bacterial small subunit ribosomal RNA", at positions 26 to 518 of the family's 1533-position model. The record is from RNAcentral.
AGGACGAACGCUGGCGGCGUGCUUAACACAUGCAAGUCGAGCGGAAAGGCCCUUCGGGGUACUCGAGCGGCGAACGGGUGAGUAACACGUGAGUAAUCUGCCCCUAGCUCUGGGAUAGCUCCGGGAAACCGGGAUUAAUACCAGAUACGACCACUUUAGACAUCUUCUGUGGUGGAAAGAACUUCGGCUAGGGAUGAACUCGCGGCCUAUCAGCUUGUUGGUGAGGUAACGGCUCACCAAGGCGACGACGGGUAGCCGGCCUGAGAGGGCGACCGGCCACACUGGGACUGAGACACGGCCCAGACUCCUACGGGAGGCAGCAGUGGGGAAUAUUGCGCAAUGGGCGAAAGCCUGACGCAGCGACGCCGCGUGGGGGAUGAAGGCCUUCGGUUGUAACCCCUUCAGCAGGGACGAAGCGAAAGUGACGGUACCUGCAGAAGAAGCGCCGGCUAACUACGUGCCAGCAGCCGC